RNAcentral lists this unclassified non-coding RNA (195 nucleotides) under plant metagenome. RNAcentral's name for it is "partial contains small subunit ribosomal RNA and internal transcribed spacer 1". The stretch from base 1 to 46 matches the Rfam family "Eukaryotic small subunit ribosomal RNA", at positions 1786 to 1831 of the family's 1831-position model. The record is from RNAcentral.
AAGUCGUAACAAGGUCUCCGUAGGUGAACCUGCGGAGGGAUCAUUAAUGAGAACUUGCCCUAACGGGUAGAUCUCCCCCUCUUAGCAAUGCAUCUUGUGUUGCGCCCACUCGGUCGCGGCCUUCGGCUGUCAGCGCUGGACAGAGGAAACUAAAACCUUUAUCACUGUCGUCAGAGUACUAUAUAAUAGUUAAAA